AAAUACUGCCUCACUGUUGCAACUGGUCAGCGACGCUCAAUCCUAUGGCGCUUCUUGUUCUUCUUCUCAUGAGGAUGAUGAUGAUGAUGCUAAGGAUGAUAAUGAUAAUGCUAAUGAUGAUGAUACAGUUACAUUCACCGUCACCGCUACUUCUACUAUGGAUUACCUAGCUCAUGACCCUUUCCGUGGUGAUGGUGAUGGUGAGGGUGAUGGUGAU
Molecule: non-coding RNA, 217 nt
Filed under: Fragilariopsis kerguelensis
Lineage: Eukaryota; Bacillariophyta; Bacillariophyceae; Bacillariales; Bacillariaceae
Source: RNAcentral